This is a non-coding RNA of Physcomitrium patens, 1115 nucleotides long. Lineage: Eukaryota; Viridiplantae; Streptophyta; Bryopsida; Funariales; Funariaceae. The record is from RefSeq and is a predicted model, not a curated record.
GGGGGGUUGCACAUUGGUUUUGUCGCAGGACAGUCAAAUUCUGGUCUAGGAUGGGGAAGUGAUUGCUUGAAGGUCAUUCCACAUUGUUUGAGUGAGAGAGAGGCAAUAGAAACUGGAUUAUGUUUUCUAUUGCAAGGGUUGUGACUGAUGCACAGCUUCUAGGUGGAGAGCAUUAGAGCAUUUCGAGUUUGGGGCGAUACGUUCUUUGCCACAUACUGAAAGAAAUAUCUCUCGAUGCAGAGCUGUCGACAACCGCCCCCUGUUAAACUUCACGGGAGGUCAUGAAUUGUAGGCAACCUGCGCAGCGGCUUGCUACACUGCUGAGACAUCAGAAACUGCGUGCAGAUUCCAAGACUAUGAAGAGUAAGAACCUCAAGGAUCAGAUUAUUGAAGGUGACUCCAGCCUAAUCACAACUGGCCCGGUUUGCUUUAAAGAUGUGACCGAGCUUGUCAUGUGAGAGGGAUGUAAGAGGAAAUGACUCAGAAAUAUUUAUGAAGACAAGCACCCAUUCGAGAACCAUGUCUCAGAUGUUGGAUACACUUGCUCAGGAUGGACAUGAUUAUGUAACAUUUUUUGAAGAAUUGUUGCCGAGUUAUAACUACUAACUUCGAGGGCAAAGAUACUACGAACCCAUGUGAGAACAAUUGUUGUGUGUCUGCAAAAGCUUUGCAGAUUCUCUAGCUCCAGCAAAGCACUGUGCAGGCGGAAAGAGACCGACUGAUUGAUACUGUAACAAAAUGUAGUUUCCAUGCGUGGAUUUGUUUGCCAAGCAUGCCAGAUACGUAAACCUUGCAGUGUUAUAAAGUUCACAACACUUGCAACACCAGUUUCUAGAGGUAUUAAACUGACAAUGCCACCAUAUCGACCUAGAAAACGACCGUGCGGUGCUUAUAUCCGUAUUCUCAGAAUUUCCUGGGUACCAUGAAAACCUGCACCAACAUUGCCAUGCUUCGAUGAUGAAGCUGAUCAUGUGCAAUUGUAGUUUGUGGCUCUGCAUCUUCAGAUCAGAACUUGCUUUGAGAAAAUUGGGGUAUUUGUAUGGAAUUUCAUGUCGAUUGCAUUGAAGAACGUUUUACAGUUGUAGCUGCAAAAGAAUAUGGUUUAUUAUUGCUAA